RNAcentral lists this ribosomal RNA (40 nucleotides) under Catasetum sp. SRR-2011. Its description in RNAcentral is "partial 26S ribosomal RNA". The record is from RNAcentral. Lineage: Eukaryota; Viridiplantae; Streptophyta; Magnoliopsida; Asparagales; Orchidaceae.
GCGACCCCAGGAUGGGCGAGGCCACCCGCUGAGUUUAAGC